CAGUCGCCACGGUAAUACAGAGGAUGCAAGCGUUAUCCGGAAUGAUUGGGCGUAAAGCGUCUGUAGGUGGCUUUUCAAGUCCGCCGUCAAAUCCCAGGGCUCAACCCUGGACAGGCGGUGGAAACUACCAAGCUGGAGUACGGUAGGGGCAGAAGGAAUUUCUGGUGGAGCGGUGAAAUGCGUUGAGAUCGGAAAGAACACCAACGGUGAAAGCACUCUGUUGGGCCGACACUGACACUGAGAGACGAAAGCUAGGGGAGAAAAUGGGAUUAGAUACCCGCGUAGUCCCUGUCUCUUAUAA
Molecule: ribosomal RNA, 301 nt
Filed under: uncultured bacterium
Lineage: Bacteria
Description: partial 16S ribosomal RNA
Rfam family: Bacterial small subunit ribosomal RNA
Source: RNAcentral